This is an RNA transcript of Strigops habroptila (Kakapo), 2230 nucleotides long. It is a transcript of the gene named mitogen-activated protein kinase 15, with no coding region annotated. The transcript has 15 exons. The record is from RefSeq and is a predicted model, not a curated record. Lineage: Eukaryota; Metazoa; Chordata; Aves; Psittaciformes; Psittacidae.
CUGCGCGGCGGCGCCGUUUCCAUAGCAGCAAAAACCAACAGGGCGAGCGCGGCGUGUGGCCUGGCGCAGGUGCGGCGCGGUGCGGUGCGCUGGGUGUCUGCCCGGCGCCUGCCGCCUCCUGUCGCCCCCCGCAGCCCGCCUCGGCCCGCCCGUCAUGAUCGCGCCGGAGGUGGAGGCGCUCGUCUCCCAGAAGUACGAGAUCAAGAGGCGCCUGGGCAAGGGGGCUUAUGGCAUUGUAUGGAAAGCAAUUGAUCGCAAGACAGGAGAAAUAGUGGCUGUUAAAAAGAUUUUUGAUGCUUUCAGGAACAAAACAGAUGCUCAGAGAACAUUUCGAGAGAUUACGUUCCUACAGGAAUUUGGAGAACAUCCAAAUAUCAUCAAGCUGCUGGAUGUUAUUCGAGCUCAGAAUGACAAGGACAUCUACCUCAUCUUUGAGUCCAUGGAGACAGAUUUACAUGCUGUGAUUAAGAAGGGGAAUUUGCUGAAAGAUAUCCACAAGUGUUACAUUCUCUACCAACUCCUGAAGGCAACGAAAUUCAUCCACUCAGGAAAUGUUAUUCACAGAGAUCAGAAGCCUUCAAAUAUCUUGCUGGAUGCAGACUGCUUUGUCAAACUUUGUGACUUUGGGCUGGCCCGUUCUUUAUGUCAGAUGAAUGAGGACCGGGUCAACCCUACUCUAACGGAGUAUGUGGCAACACGCUGGUACCGAGCCCCUGAGAUCUUACUUUCCUCUCGGAGUUACACUAAAGGUGUAGACAUGUGGAGCAUUGGCUGUAUUCUGGGAGAGCUGCUACUUGGGAAACCUCUUUUUCCUGGAACUUCAACAGUGAAUCAAAUAGAGCAGAUCUUGAGGGUCAUUCCUGCCCCAUCCCCAGAAGAUAUUUUGGCUGUGCAGUCAGAUUACAGAGCCUCAGUUAUUAACCGCAUGAGUUCCCGGCAGCGAGUAACAUUUGAGGAGAUUUUACCAUCCUCUACUCCAUUGCCUGCCUUGGAUCUUCUGAAGAAACUUUUAGUAUUUAACCCUGACAAACGACUCACAGCAGAGGAGGCUUUGCAGCAUCCUUAUGUGAAAAGGUUUCACUGUCCUGCCAGGGAGCCCUCUCUGGAUCAUGAUGUGGUUCUUCCUUUAGGUGAUGAUAUCCAGCUGUCUGUGGCAGAAUACCGGAAUAAAUUAUAUGAGAUGAUCCUUGAAAAGAUAUCGAAUAGCCGUCCAAAGGAGCAAGUGCGGAGAGAAAACAUACAAAUAAGUCAGUCUGAAUCUAGGCCGCUUCCAAACUCCACUUCUGUGAUUUUGCCUACCAAGAAAGGCCAGAUAGAACCAACACCACCUCUUCUAAAAGCUUCGCAUGUGCAUGCUGGAACUACAACUGGUAUCCAGCCAGAAGUAUCCGGCCAGAGUGAAGAUUUAUCAAGACCUUUAUGUCAGAGAUCAAAGAUCCAUGUGGUAUACAAUCCCAUAACACACACCGCUGUUCAAAGUAAUGCAAAUUCUGGUGCUCUGAUCAGGAACUGUUCAGCGUCACUUUCUCAACAGGCCAGAAUCUCCAACCACAGGAGACUCGGGAGACAAAUCACAUGGGCAAAAGCAAAUGCUGAGCUACCUCCUACAAGUGUACAGAACAUUUACAAUAAUCCAAGAAAUACUCAGUUUCACAGCAAAGAUAUUCGUCCCCCUCUGAAGUCCAGUAAAAAGAUGUUCCAGAUUACUGCAAAUAUGGGAGCUGCUGGUGACCCGAAAGCAUCGAUGGGCAGUUACUCGCAGGCCUAUGGAACCAUAUGUAAAUCUGCGCUCCAGAGUCUUCCAAUAUCAAAGUCCUCCCAGCAACUUGAGCAGUGAAUAUGGAAGUGUUCUAACCAGGUGAAGUACAGCUCAUCAGUCCCCUAAUCAAGCCCUUCAGUUUGUUUUUGACUAUUUUCUAUGAUUCUUCUCGGGUAAAUGAACAUAAUCAGUGGUGGCUUAUUUUCAUUAAAAUAAUGUAGAAAAGCAUUUUAAAUACAGGUGGGUUCUGCUACAACAUUUAGUAGCUUACCUACCACGUAAUACUGUGAUAUUGCAAAUAUUGUAAUAAAUACUUUAUAUUGCACUACAGAAAAUCUUUGUCUUUCAAUCAAUGUUUGCUGUGUGUGAAAGGGAAAAAUCCAGAGGUAUCUUGUUCAAUGAAUAAUAUGAAUGCUGGGACUACAUUUACAGAGGGGAUUCAGGCACUAAAUUCUAACAUAAUGCAAGAAA